UUCAAUACACUCUGCAUUGAAUCUCAGUUAGGGAUGGCAUCCGGGGCGGGCGGGUACGGACACUGGACCCCGGCCUUGCCCGUUAGUACAUCCGGGUUUCUAUAACUCCGGGCCCGGAGCCCAGGGGAAAACGAAGCCAAGGCCCGCCGUCGGAGGCCCGGGUUACCGGGUCAAGCCUGUUAGAUAAUAAAUAAAAGACCUCACACCUGCUUGAAAGUUGAAUCUGCGAAAACACCCUACAUCAGAGCUCCCUGUAGGACAGCCUCCAUAGCAACCACCAGAUGCUUCCCCCUGACGAUUCAUCCACCGCGCCACCGCCACCUCAUGUGGUUGAGCUGCUGAGUACAAUAAGUCAAUAGCGGCAAUUAUGGAGAAAGAAUAAGAGGUUGCGCCGAUCUCCUCAGUCGGAGAAGGCUGCAACGGUUACCAAAUCGGUGGAUAUUAAAGAGGAUCCCGCUGCCGACGGAGCAGAGGGCGAUAAGAAGGAGAAACGUACGAUGAAGAUUCUGCUGCCGCAGUCAUUGAUUUCAUUGAAGAAAGACAACAAUCGAUUCCAUUGAUUUCAUUAAUUCCGAGAGCUUUGAGUUCAAGCACAAAAGCAUUUGGUGCAUGAAGCUCUCUACUCGCUCCUUCACCUCUCCACCAAAGGAGGAGAAUUGAAGAUUGGAAUCGAUCUGAAUUCGAAAAGACUGAAUUGAAGAUUGGAAUCAGUAAAGUGAGAAGGGGGAUUAAUGGCUGACACGCACGAAAUGGGUCAUUGAUGAAUCUGACCGAGUUUCCGGGGCGGAUACCACAAUCCCGAUACCCUACCCGUACCCCUGUUUCGGGUGGCGGGUUUACCUGAAUCCGGUCAAACCCCUGUUUUGGGUGGCGGGUUUACCCGAAUCCGG
This 890-nucleotide long non-coding RNA is filed under the name Linum usitatissimum (flax). Its description in RNAcentral is "long non-coding RNA (LUSI_LNC002537)". The record is from RNAcentral. Lineage: Eukaryota; Viridiplantae; Streptophyta; Magnoliopsida; Malpighiales; Linaceae.